UACAGAGGGGGCAAGCGUUAUUCGGAAUUAUUGGGCGUAAAGGGCGCGUAGGCGGUUUUUUAAGUCGGAUGUGUAAUCCCCGGGCUUAACCUGGGAACUGCAUCCGAGACUGGAAGACUUGAGUACGGAGAGGGUAGUGGAAUUCCUAGUGUAGGAGUGAAAUCCGUAGAUAUUAGGAGGAACACCGGUGGCGAAGGCGGCUGCCUGGACCGAUACUGACGCUGAGACGCGAAAGCGUGGGG
RNAcentral lists this ribosomal RNA (242 nucleotides) under uncultured bacterium. RNAcentral describes it as "partial 16S ribosomal RNA". It matches the Rfam family "Bacterial small subunit ribosomal RNA", at positions 524 to 766 of the family's 1533-position model. The record is from RNAcentral.